Molecule: long non-coding RNA, 221 nt
Filed under: Salvia miltiorrhiza (redroot sage)
Lineage: Eukaryota; Viridiplantae; Streptophyta; Magnoliopsida; Lamiales; Lamiaceae
Description: long non-coding RNA (SMIL_LNC013190)
Source: RNAcentral
UGAGAUAUAUAUAUUUUUCCUACAUUCACAAGUGUGAUAUACAUUUUCCUACAUAGUUUAUUUAAUUUCCAUGAGAUGCAUGCAUAUAGUAUAAGUAUGAGUUUAUUAUAAUGAGCUAGUAGGUGAUUAAAUCCCCUUAUCUAGAAUAAGACAAGAAAAAAAAAAAAAAAAAAAAAAAAAAAAAACUUUCUCUCUCCCCUCCCCCUAUGGACCGUCCCCAC